RNAcentral lists this ribosomal RNA (253 nucleotides) under uncultured bacterium. RNAcentral's name for it is "partial 16S ribosomal RNA". It matches the Rfam family "Bacterial small subunit ribosomal RNA", at positions 524 to 776 of the family's 1533-position model. The record is from RNAcentral.
UACGUAGGGUGCGAGCGUUAAUCGGAAUUACUGGGCGUAAAGCGUGCGCAGGCGGCUUUGCAAGACAGAUGUGAAAUCCCCGGGCUCAACCUGGGAACUGCAUUUGUGACUGCAAGGCUAGAGCACGGCAGAGGGGGAUGGAAUUCCGCGUGUAGCAGUGAAAUGCGUAGAUAUGCGGAGGAACACCAAUGGCGAAGGCAAUCCCCUGGGCCUGUACUGACGCUCAUGCACGAAAGCGUGGGGAGCAAACAGG